AGAGUUUGAUCAUGGCUCAGAGUGAACGCUGGCGGUAGGCCUAACACAUGCAAGUCGAACGGCAGCACAGAGGAGCUUGCUCCUUGGGUGGCGAGUGGCGGACGGGUGAGGAAUACAUCGGAAUCUACUCUGUCGUGGGGGAUAACGUAGGGAAACUUACGCUAAUACCGCAUACGACCUACGGGUGAAAGCAGGGGAUC
RNAcentral lists this ribosomal RNA (200 nucleotides) under uncultured bacterium. Its description in RNAcentral is "partial 16S ribosomal RNA". It matches the Rfam family "Bacterial small subunit ribosomal RNA", at positions 8 to 212 of the family's 1533-position model. The record is from RNAcentral.